This 617-nucleotide long non-coding RNA is filed under the name Pan troglodytes (chimpanzee). RNAcentral describes it as "long non-coding RNA NONPTRT000964". Lineage: Eukaryota; Metazoa; Chordata; Mammalia; Primates; Hominidae. The record is from RNAcentral.
CUCACCUCCCCAGUUUGAGUGCUUUUUUGCAUCCAUUUGACACGUAAUCUAUUCAACAAAGUUCUUAGCUAUCGUUAUGUCACUGGUUUCUUUUACGUAAGUUUUUCUUAUAUCAAAUUGGCAAAAAGAGAUAUGGAAUUCAGGAACUUGUAACACCAUUAGUAACAAGACAGCCCCGCAAAUAUUUUGAAAAUUGGGAUCCAGGCUGCUAUGACAUUUCCAAGCUCCUCAGAAACUAUCUACCAUGCUGCCACAAACAACUAGGUAAGGGAGCUGGCUGGCUGCCCAGCCUCUACGGAACACACAACCUGGCUAAAGGACACGCACUCCAACUAGACAAUGGCAAACCAUUCUAAAGUCUAGAAGAAGGGUACUCCAGCAAAGAGUAAUGCCGCCUAGAUAACCCCAAACUUAAAUCCUCCAAGCGUUUCCCCGCCUCGCAGUUUCGCCGACUCAGGGGCCCCCGGGGAACUGGGGCUGGGCUGCGGGGAGGUCGCAGAGGAGCAGGGCGAGGGGCGGGAGACCGAGCGAUGCCCGCCCGACGCUCACCUCGCGCACCUGGGCCGGGCGGGAGGAGCAGGGAUGCUCAGAGGACAGUAGCUGGGUGACAUCCCCUA